CCAGGAGAGAUCACUUGUUCAUAAGUAAUCCAAUGCCUCUUAAAUCACCAACUCCAUAGUUAAAUGUGCUCAGGUGGGAGUAGUACUAGGAUGGGUGACCUCCUGGGAAGUCUCCACCGGGC
This 122-nucleotide ribosomal RNA is filed under the name Helianthus annuus (common sunflower). The record is from RNAcentral. Lineage: Eukaryota; Viridiplantae; Streptophyta; Magnoliopsida; Asterales; Asteraceae.